GAGACCGGCGCACGGGUGCGUAACGCGUAUGCAAUCUACCUUUCACAAAGGGAUAGCCCAGAGAAAUUUGGAUUAAUACCUUAUAGUAAUACGACUUGGCAUCAAGAUGUAUUUAAAGAUUUAUCGGUGAAAGAUGAGCAUGCGUCCCAUUAGCUAGUUGGUAUGGUAACGGCAUACCAAGGCUACGAUGGGUAGGGGUCCUGAGAGGGAGAUCCCCCACACUGGUACUGAGACACGGACCAGACUCCUACGGGAGGCAGCAGUGAGGAAUAUUGGACAAUGGGCGCAAGCCUGAUCCAGCCAUGCCGCGUGCAGGAUGACGGUCCUAUGGAUUGUAAACUGCUUUUGUACAGGAAGAAACCCUUUCACGUGUGGAAGAUUGACGGUACUGUAAGAAUAAGGAUCGGCUAACUCCGUGCCAGCAGCCGCGGUAAUACGGAGGAUCCAAGCGUUAUCCGGAAUCAUUGGGUUUAAAGGGUCCGUAGGCGG
This 489-nucleotide ribosomal RNA is filed under the name uncultured Flavobacterium sp. RNAcentral's name for it is "bacterial SSU rRNA". It matches the Rfam family "Bacterial small subunit ribosomal RNA", at positions 91 to 578 of the family's 1533-position model. Lineage: Bacteria; Pseudomonadati; Bacteroidota; Flavobacteriia; Flavobacteriales; Flavobacteriaceae. The record is from RNAcentral.